CUAAACCCUACAAGAAUAUUUUCAAAAAAUUUCAUCAUACAAUUUGUGAUGAGCUGAUAGGCACUAAUCAGUCCAAGCUUUUAAAGGUUGGUAGGAAUUGUUGCAACGUGAGGACAACGGAACAAAGGUCAGGUGGUUUAUUGUUUUGGGGUGUCUUUUAUACCUUUAUAAAACUGAAUGUAGGCAGUUAAGGUCGAACACGUGGGCAAUAAAGCGUGGAUUGUAUCAAACAAGUAAAAGGCAAGU
RNAcentral lists this non-coding RNA (246 nucleotides) under unclassified sequences. Its description in RNAcentral is "ARRPOF RNA". It matches the Rfam family "ARRPOF RNA". The record is from Rfam by way of RNAcentral.